CCCCGCGGCCUCGCUCCGCCCCGCGCCCAUCGCCGCGCUGUGCCGCGCCCCGCACUGCGGAUCGGCCAUUGGCACACGCGGGACCCGCCCCGCCGCUCCACACGCGUGUCCGCGCUUCACGUCGCCCGCGGGCGCGCGGCCCCGUGCCCACAGCGCGGAGCGGACGGGAGCGGAGCAGGAGCGUGAACCGGGGCUGCACGGCGGGGACGAGACCAGCCCACGCGGGACGUGGGAGCGGGAGGCGGCGGGGGCAGCUGUGCCGUGAGGUGCAUGUGCAAGGCAUAAGGAGACCUCGUUGCUGCCCGCGUACCUGUACAGCCCGUGUUGGUGCACGUGACGUCUGCAGCCCAUGCACGAUGUGACUGCUCACACCCCACAUACGUGUGUGCACGCAGUGAGGUGGGCACCUGCCCACAGCACAGCCCCCCUGUGUGCAGGUCGGCGGGAUGAGGCGGCGCGUGGCCUGCUGCUGGGUGCUGCUGCUGCUUGCUGCCACCUUCUGCCAGCCAGCUGCCUCCAAGGGCGGGCGUGGGGGCUCCCGGGGGGCUGCACGCGGCAUGGCACGGGGGGCUGCCCGCAGCCGCCACAGGGGCCUGCCACGCUACGGCGGGGCUCUGCGUGUGGCUGCGGCGGCGGCGGCAGCUGGGGCGGCGGCUGGAGCUGCACUGCACCAGGCCCGGGCAGAGAUGGAGUACCACGAGGGCAACGGGACGGCCUGGACGUCGGCGGCACCGGGACGGAUGGAAUGGGGCUGGGCCGUGCCCUGGUUCUGUCCCCUCGCUGCCAUCCUGCACCACUGAUGGCGCCCACUGGGUUCCUCAGCGAUUCGACAGUGACGUGGAAAUAAAGCUGGGCGACGCUGCGUGUGGAUGGAUGUGGCCCAAGCAAGGGCUGGGUGCAGGCACAGGGAUAGCUGUAACACCCUGCACCGAGGCCUCCACGGUUUUACUUGAGGCUACAGGUGGCACCCGCAUGGUUUGGGCCCCCCUUCCCACCAGUCCCAGUGGAGAGGAUACAGAUAUCACAAGACGACCCAUCCAGGAACAAAGCAGCUUUAAUCACACCAUGCCACCACCUGGAGCUGGGGGAGAUGUGAGACGCCCUGCUCUACUCCAGGACCCUCAAUCCAGCGUCAGCCUACCCAGAUGCCCAGCACGGAAGGCCCGCACGAACUCAUAGGCAGCAGCCGAGUAGUUGAGCAUCGUCAUGUUGACAUUCCCUGCAGGAUGGACAGGGGGUUGCCACAGUCCUCAGCAGAGCCCACAGCGCAGUGAGCCCCAUCCCCACGCUCACCUGUGCCUGUCAGCACCUUCACCUUCUGUGUCUUGCCCAGGCUGACUGCCACGUACUUCAGCACAUGCCUGAUGUUGUCGCUGGCUUCGGGCAGUCCAUAGCGCUCCAUGUACCUGCAGAGAGGAUGCAGCUCCCACCCACACCUCAGGGUGCCCCAGCCGUGCCCUGCCCCCCACUCACCCAAACUGCUGCUGCCGGUUCAGUACAUACAGCAGGUAGUCAGCCAUGAUGUCUUCACCCACCAAGUGGUCACGGAUGGCUCCUGUCAGAGGGAAGCCCCCAGCCUCAUCAGUUUUUUCCAUGCAUCCUGCCCCAGGCUGCCCAGCUCCUCGGCCCCGUACCACACAAUGCCAGCUUCAUCCCCGUCUCCACAUCGGCCAACUUUGGGGGCAGCACACCCGGUGUGUCCACCAGGUACACCAGGGGAGUCUCACACACCUGCGGCCCCACCACCAAGACCACGGGCUCAGCAGAGGCUCUUAGCCAAGGCCUCGCCACAAAGCGAUGAGGUGCUCCAUGGGAGAAAGCCUGCACCCUGUACCCAAAGGGAGGGAAUAAUACCUGGAUCCGGGUCAGCACUGCCUUGGUGACGCCUGGCUCACCGCCCACUGCUGUGGCUUUUCCUUUGGGGAAAAGGAGAGAGUGAGGGAACUGUGUGAUGCCUGGAGCAGCAACCCCACAAUGCCACGGAAACUUGAUGUACCCUUUUUUAGGUGCAGCCUCCUCAAGGAGUUGAUAAGUGACGACUUGCCUACGUUGGGCACACCGAUCACCAUGAUGCUGUACUCGGUACUCUGAAAGCAGGGAGGACACGUGCAGGUGCUGUGCUCCACCAAAGGACAUACCCAGGCUGCAGGCUCCCUGCCCCUCCUCACCUCAGCCCGGUGGUAGCGUGGGUUGCCGCUGACAAGCUUGGCGACCAGGGGUACAAUCUGUGGGAGGUGGGGAGGAUGCUCUCAUCGCAGCCUCGGGGUCAAUUGAGGACAGGGCAGAAGCACGGUACCUUCUUCACAUUGGUGUCCUGCUGACAGUCAGUGAAGACAACAUGCGGGCAUCCCUGCUGCCUCAGUCGCUCCAGGACUCUCUGUGGGGACAGUUUAAUAGCGUGGUUCCACUGCAGCCCCACAAGGCCUCAGCUCACUUAAUGCCUCCAGUACUCACUGCCUGCUGCCGUGGGUCAGCCAGGUCCAUCUUGUUCAGCACCAAAAGAUGCGGGCGGAUGCCCAGCACCUCCUGCAGCACCGGGUUACGGCCUGACAGCGGGAUGUGCAGCUGCUAAGGAGAACUGUGGUAUGAGGGAAAACAGGAGAGCAGGGGGCUGCUGUGGCUUGUGGGGUGGAGAGGCUCGGCUCGAGGUAACAGGGCUUAAAGGGGGGGGUGGAAAAACUGUGUGUUGGAGCAGAUCAUAGGGACAAACAGGAGCGUGGGGGCUGGUUAUGGGGCUGGUAAUGGGGGCUGGUUAUGGGGCUGGUUAUGGAGCUGGUUGUGGGGCUGGUUAUGGGGCUGAGAGCAGGAAGCAGGGGGCGGUCUGAGGGCUGUGCUGAGGCCGGUGCCGUUCCAAUAGGAGCUGGGGGCACAGCAGGGCCCGGUGUGUGUGUGUGUGUGUAUAAGGAUAUCCGGGCGUCGUGCACCUCCACCAGGCAGUCGGCACGGCGCAGGGAGGCCCGCAUCUGCCGCAGCCCUGCAACACAACGCCCGCUGAGCCGAGCGGCCGCACACACCGCCGUUCCCGCUCCCUCACCCUUGGCCAUGUCUCACCUUUAGCCAUGUGCCCGGGGAACCAUGAUGCCGCAUCGCGGCUGCCGAAAUCGAAUCGUGCUCGGAACGCGCCCGACUCGGCGCCGCUCACUGAGGCGGCGGCCCGCAGCGCUCCCGCGCAGCGCCUCAUGACGCUUCCGGUGCGUCACUUCCGGCAGGGAGAAGCGGAAGCGGCGCCGGUGUCGUGACGUCAUUCCGCAGUGACGUCACUGAGCCGUGACGCAGCGCCAUGGCGGAGCCGCGGCCCGGGGCGGAUCCUCGCAGUUCGGCGGGGCCGGGCCCGGCGCCCGCUGCUCCCCCUCAGCCUCCAUCGCAGCCUCCAUCGCAGCCUCCUUCACAGCCUCCAUCGCAGCCUCCUGCCGCCCCACAGCCCCCCACGGAGGUCGCCCCGCAGCCAGGCCCCGUGACAGCCCCGCUGGACGACACGCGCUUCAUGAUCGCCGGCACCAACUGGUACUGACGGCCCGGAGGAUGAGCGGGCGGCGGGCAAUAAAGCAGCCGGAACCGUG
This is a non-coding RNA of Coturnix japonica (Japanese quail), 3560 nucleotides long. NCBI's taxonomy places the organism in Eukaryota, Metazoa, Chordata, Aves, Galliformes, Phasianidae. The record is from RefSeq and is a predicted model, not a curated record.